AACCUACGGGAGGCAGCAGUGGGGAAUAUUGGGCAAUGGGCGCAAGCCUGACCCAGCAACGCCGCGUGAAGGAAGAAGGCUUUCGGGUUGUAAACUUCUUUUCUCAGGGACGAAGAAAGCGACGGUACCUGAGGAAUAAGCCACGGCUAACUACGUGCCAGCAGCCGCGGUAAUACGUAGGUGGCAAGCGUUAUCCGGAUUUAUUGGGUGUAAAGGGCGUGUAGGCGGGAGCGCAAGUCAGACGUGAAAUUCCAGGGCUCAACCCUGGAACUGCGUUUGAAACUGUUCUUCUUGAGUGAUGGAGA
This 305-nucleotide ribosomal RNA is filed under the name uncultured bacterium. RNAcentral describes it as "bacterial SSU rRNA". It matches the Rfam family "Bacterial small subunit ribosomal RNA", at positions 335 to 655 of the family's 1533-position model. The record is from RNAcentral.